This 17-nucleotide transfer RNA is filed under the name Hycleus cichorii. Its description in RNAcentral is "partial tRNA-Met". The record is from RNAcentral. Lineage: Eukaryota; Metazoa; Arthropoda; Insecta; Coleoptera; Meloidae.
CUGAUCUUUCUCUUUUU